UUGAAAUGAAAUGAUUUUGUUUUUAAAUAUAAAUGAGCUUGAUCGUCAACGGCUCAUGGGUAAGUAAAAAUAUUUUUCUGAUAAAAAUAAAAUAUUUCAAAAGAACUUCUGAUCAUGGGUUAUUAGUUGUCGAUGUGUGUGUCUUAGUGGUAAUUGUGUGCAUUAGUUGUGGAACAGUGCCUUAGUGGUGAACUGGUGAUUGUGUGCAUUAGUUGUGGAUGUGUGUGUCUUAAUGAUGAUUGUGUGCAUUCGUUGUGGAAUGUGCCUUAGUAGUGAUUGUGUGUCUUAGUUGUGAAUGUGUGCCUUAGUGGUGAUUGUAUGCAUUAGUUGUGGAUGUGUGUCUUAGUGGUGAUUGUGUGCAUUAGAUUAGGAGUCUUCGUGGUGGACCGGGAACCAAGCCUUGGCCGGGUGAUUGAUUACGGUCAGUAUAGAGCUCUAGUUUGUCUGUCGGUACUUCAUGGGGGAUGACUAAGUGUCAACGAACCCAUGCGUACGCGUUUGUUUGGUUACUUAUGAGGGAUGACUAAGUGUUGACGAACUCAUAAGUAAGAGUAGAGAAAUGAUUAUGUGAUGUUCUUAUGUGUUGUCAUUUAAAUUCCUUGCUUUGAGUAUCUCCUGAACUAUGCUUAUCCGCAGGAGAUUCUAAAUCUUUACUUGUGAUUUUUAGUGAAUUCCUGAACUACAUUUUUUUGCAGGAUUCAUUUAUGAUUUUAAUUAUUUGUGGAUGGUUGUGUUUUCUUAUUUACUCUAUUUUAAAUUCUCUCAUUUUUAGGCAAUUCCUGAACUAAGUUUAUAAGCAAGAAUUACUGAUGUUUAUCUUGUGAUGUUAGGUUGAGUUCUUUAAUGUAGAUUUACUCAUAUGAGCUUUUAAAGCUUACCGAGUUUGUUGUUUACAACCCGGUACACCAAUCCAGGGUGUAGAGGUUGAUUUUGCAGGUCAGGUUUAGCAGAGUUAAGGCUGCGGCAAUUAGGUAAUUUUUCUUUUUGUUUACUUUCUAGUUGUUGUGAGUAUUGAGAGAGUUUUACUUUGUUCAAAAUUAUUUUCCACAAGUUGUAAAACUAAAUUGUUGUAGUGAUUGUUUUUCUUUUUUGGUUAUUAUGCCUUGAAUUUGAAAUUUUUUAUUUAUCCAAAAUUUAGGGUGUGACAACCUAAACGCUUGAUUUGUUCCACUUUCUGAAAGCGGGAGGAAUCACUUAAAGUGCUUAGGCUCUACGUAUUUUUCGACCGCGCAAGGAAGAGUAGAAAUCCUGAGAUUGCACAAAGUCAUCCUCUUUCAAGUUUUGUAUGUCUCUUCUUUAACAUGGAAAACACUUCGAGCAAAUUCAUUUCCUUGUUUUGAUAUGGCAGUACUCUAUACAACCCGAGCAAACUCAUUUUCUUACUUUGUUAUGACUGGACUUAGAAGCAUCUUCCAAGCUGCCUACGUACUCUUACGAGAAAGAGAUCAAGUCACGACGUAGUUCAAGGAUUUUUUUAUAUUUUUUUAGGUGUCGUACGCAGUUUAUGCUCGUGGGGGCAAGGAGCAUUUUUUUUUUUGUGCCUUGUGCAGUUGAGGCUCAUGCAGGCUAGGAGUUGUUUUUUUUUUUCUUUUUUUUGGUUGUCAUUUGCAAUUUAAGCUCGUGCAGACAAGGAGCGAUAAUUUUUUUUUGUUUUUUGUUUUUUUUUGUGUGUCAUUCGCAGUUUAAACUAGUGCGGACAAGAAACAUUUUGACUCUUGAGUGGUCUACAUAAAUUUAGACGGGUUGCAUGCCCCUAACAAAGGUGUUGAGGACACCACUUCAAGGUGUUCAAAAAAGAUGGUUGCAUAAUUUGACUAAGCCACGUCAUCUUCAACAUCUAAACAUAUCUUUCCUUGUUGUGCUAGCUUCAUGAUGAGGUCUUUCAAGACGAAGCCCUUCUCCAGGAUGACCGAUGACACGGUGGUACUUGUAAUACUUAGGAUCAUUGACACGAUGCAUCUCUUCUGGACGCUUGCAGUCUGGCAAUUUGAUUAGUUCUUUUUCAAGCAAGUUUUCCAACAUCUCAACAACAUCGAAAUCUGGAAAAGGGUAACUUUUAGCUUCCAAGUCAUUUAGAGUUUGCCUCCUUGCUUGAUCUUGCAGGAGUUGUACUGAUUGCCAAAGACUCUUGAUUCUCUGGUUCUAUGAUGUCACAUUUUCUUUGGCCAUGACUAGCCAAACUGAGUUCCAUGUCAUGAGCUCGGGUAGCAAGUUCUUCAAAGGUGCGAGGCUUUAUCCCUUGAAAAAUGUACAACAAAUCCCAAUGCAUGCCUUGAAUACACAUCUAUACCGCUGACAAUUUUAAGAGUCGGUCUUUGCAGUCGAGACUUAGUGUACGCCAACGAUUGAUGAACUCUACAGCAGGCUCGCCAUUUUGUUGUUUGGUGUUGGUGAGCUCUAACAUACUCACCAUGCGACGUGUGUUGAAGAAGUGGUUCAAGAACUCCUUUUCCAUUUGCUCCCAGCUGUCAAUGAAUUCAGGCUCCAAGUCUGUAAACCAUUUAAACUCCGUGCCUUGGAGUGAGCGAACAAAUUGCUUCACAAGAUGAUCACCAUCGGUGCCAGUGUUGUUGCAUGUUUCGAUGAAAUGUGCGAUGUGUUGCUUUGGGUUACAUUUGCCAUCAAAUUGUUAAAACUUGGGAGGUUGGUAACCAGUUGACAUUCUCAAAUUGUCUAGCCGCUUGGUGUAAGACUUGGAAUACGUUAGUGUAUCUCGAGGCGAACCACCAUAUUGAGCUUUGAUUGUCUUGGCAAUCAUGUCUUGAAGCUGUUGAACUAACAAUGAAGCUAGGAUGGAAUUUGAUUCUCCUUUUUGCUCGGAAGAUGAUCCACUAGACUUGUCUUUCUUAUCGCCAUGAAGGUUAUUCUCCGAGUCAUUGUCGUGGUGAACUUCUAGCUUCUCCAUGAGUGAUGCAAUUUCUACAUCCUUCUCUUCAAUGGUCUUUUGGAGCUUCUUCACCGCUUCAGUCAACUGGGCUAUUUGGGCCGCUUGUUCUUCCAUGUUGAUCACUUCUAUCACCAUGACUUGCAUGGCGCAAGAGUCGUCUUCUAGAAUCGCUUCAAUUUGAUUGUCAAGAUGCAAUUCCAAGUGUGGACAUAUCUUCGAAUCAACUUUGGUUGUGGGCGAAGGAGAAUGUUUCCUCGAGUUGCCUGACGAUGUUAAAAGUCUUUGCUUCGUGAGGUUUGCCACCAUUGUUGUCCAAACGUCGAUCAGCUGAAACUGCUUUGAGGAAUGAAGGUUGAAUGUUGUGAGUUGAAAUGACUCACUAUGAGCAACAUGAUCGCUAAGGUUUCUACUGCUUUUCAGAGUAGCUAUAUAGCUACCUUGUUGGUCUUGUUUUUCGAUUUGAUUUGCACCAUCUUUGAAGCCAUGUGAUGAGGAUGGCGAGAUUGUCGGAGGAGGAGAUGAGAGGCAGAGAUGGUCUCACUGGGCGUGCCAAUUUUGUAAACACGAAAAUUUCUGUAACGAAUAACAGAAAGACAUGUGUACAAAAUAAUAUAUUUGUAUUGAUUGAAUUUGCGGGUUACAAUCUCUGUGGGUAUUCUUUUAACAAGAAUGUCCUCUGAUUCGAUCUCCAUCGUUGAUUUGAUCCAAGGGUGACGAGCACUUGAUCUUGAAUUGAACUGUUGUAGUUUGAACUUCUUAUCGUGUUGACGAUUUGUAGAAGGAAGUUGACCAAGGGCCGUAGAGGCUUGAUCUUGGUCGAAUUUGGGUCGAGAAAGGUGUCACGUGGUGAACGUUCUUCGGCUUGAUAGCGGAUGAAUCGGCACGUGUGUUUGGUGCUUGUUGAUUCUCCAACAGCUUGUUGAAGAACUUGGUAAAAGUUUUGAUUUGUUGAAAGGCUUGAAGACGAGGGUUGAUCAAAGGCCGUAGAGGCUUGACAUUGAUCGGGUUUGGGCCACGAGCAGUUCCACGUGGUGGUUGCUCUUCGUCUUGUAGUUGGUGAAGAUGUCGGCUAUUUGACAAUUUGGGACUCUUCGGGAUUUGACAACUUCUAGGUUUGAGGUUGAUGAAGAAUCGACUAUUUGACAGCUUGAUAAUUCUUCAAGGGUUCUGGGAGAAUUCUGAGCUCUCGAGAGUAAUUUUUCUCUCUUGUCCGGAAGUCCUCUUCUUGAUAUGAGAGAGGGGUAUUUAUAGUGUCGACGUUCCUCCGUUUAUGGAAUGUUUUGAAGACAGUGUUUUAAUUGUAUUUCCUUAACAGUAUAAUUAAAUCAAUCAGUUUUGAUUGAUUGAUCUAAUUAUAAUUAUUAACAUAAUUAAAUCAGUCUGUAUUUAUUGAUUGAUUCGAUUAUGACUGAUAAAGUAUUUUGCUAAUUUGAUUAAAUGUUCGACUUCCUUUCCGAUAAUCAAUUUAAUUUGAUUGAAAUUUGAUUAUCGAUUGACAUUUAAUAUUUACUUUUAGUCGGAAUUGAUGAUUUUUGUUGUCGACUGAUCAUUCACACGUGACCACAUGUCAUUUUCGAAGACUUUAUAAUUUUUCCAACUGACGAACCACAUAUGC
RNAcentral lists this long non-coding RNA (4502 nucleotides) under Fragaria vesca (wild strawberry). RNAcentral's name for it is "long non-coding RNA (FVES_LNC001405)". The record is from RNAcentral. Lineage: Eukaryota; Viridiplantae; Streptophyta; Magnoliopsida; Rosales; Rosaceae.